RNAcentral lists this ribosomal RNA (253 nucleotides) under uncultured bacterium. Its description in RNAcentral is "partial 16S ribosomal RNA". It matches the Rfam family "Bacterial small subunit ribosomal RNA", at positions 524 to 776 of the family's 1533-position model. The record is from RNAcentral.
UACGUAGGGGGCAAGCGUUGUCCGGAUUUAUUGGGCGUAAAGAGCGUGUAGGCGGUUUGGUAGGUCCGCUGUGAAAACUCGAGGCUCAACCUCGAGACGCCGGUGGAAACCAUCAGACUAGAGUCCGGAAGAGGAGAGUGGAAUUCCUGGUGUAGCGGUGAAAUGCGCCGAUAUCAGGAAGAACACCGGUGGCGAAGGCGGUCUGCUGGGCAGUUGCUGACACUGAGGCGCGACAGCGUGGGGAGCAAACAGG